CUCUCUUUUAUCUUGCCUCCAUGCUCUAGUUAUUUUGUUCUGUCUAUGCACCUACUUGCACUGGACUGGCAAGAAAAAUGUCAUUCUGCCUAUCCAUUUUCUUCCACCAGUGUAUCUUAAAAGAAAAAAAAAGAAAAAACGUUGUUCUAUAAGUUUUAUUCCCUGGACUGGUUUAAAAAAAAAAAAGAAAGAAAAAAAGAAGACUUUUUUUAGCAGCCAUCUCAGCUGUACCAGAUGCAGAAUUACUCCCUCUUACACUCUGAUCCCACUUCUUUUAGUUUCAGUCUCUAAAAAGUUAUUCUACCUGGAAAUGUGAUGUGUUUUUUGUUAGCUACACAAAAUGGAAGCAGGAAAUGAGUUACAAGUCUUGGGUUAAUUAAGGAUCAGGUGGGUGCUAAGGCAGACAGACCAUUUUGUGGUAUGGGACCAAACUUCCAGUCAGGCAGAGGCAACAGUCGGCUGACAGCCAGACCAAUUUUAGUCUUGUUACGGAGCAUUGUACAUCUUCAUCCUGUGUUCCUUGUCUGUCAGAGUUUUUUCCCAUCUUUUUUUGUUUUUUUGCAUGGCCUUUCCGUUCGUGUUGCCAAGCUCCUGGCAGUAUUUUUACCUCCCAUUACUCCUUGUACUCCACCCCUCGCCACUUUUUUAUUUAUUUUAUCAACUAUCAUUUUGCCUUCUUAUCCCUAUAACUAAACAAAUGACAUUGCUUGAUGUUAUUUUAUUUUUUUUUAUUCUCCUUUGGCCACCUCAAGCUGAAAUUUCAGGAAAAAUGUCCCUCUAUUCUCACACCGCAACCCCUUACAAAAUUUCUGGAAAUCUGAGCGAGAAAAGCUCCAAAAUAUUAUAAAGGUUUUAUUUGUUUUGUUUUGUUUUUUUUGGGGGGGGAGGGUUUGUAUAUUCAGUCUCCAAAGGGGGGAUCAGUGUGAAUGGCCCAACCCAAGCUAACUUAUCGCCAAACCUCUGUAAUGGCUGGAAAUAACAGGAAAUCAGCAAAAUUGUGCAGUAGAAGUCCCCCUGGAGGAAAUUAUGGAUGGAUUUGGCUGUACGUGUAUGGACUCAACUGGAAAUAAGGCCCUGAGGCAUACUUUCUUUUUUUAAAACAAAGCGAUACACAGGUGCCUUUGCUACUGUUGGUAAAAGCACAUCACAGUCUGAACAUUCAAACUACCCUCAGUGGACCAUCUGCAAGUGUCUCUGAACUAUCUAUUUAUCAAUCUACCUAUCUAUCUGUUUAGUUUUGUCUUUUUCCUCCCCUUCUCUCCUGUUGUUGUUUUUUUUUUUAACUCUCAGUAUACCCAGCUGAAAAAAGAACAAUUCAAUCCUGGUUUAAAGUUUAAUUUUCUGAUGUGUUCCCUUAUGAUUUUAUUCUUGAUAAUAAAAAAGCAC
Molecule: long non-coding RNA, 1386 nt
Organism: Amphiprion ocellaris (clown anemonefish)
Lineage: Eukaryota; Metazoa; Chordata; Actinopteri; Pomacentridae
Source: Ensembl